RNAcentral lists this ribosomal RNA (563 nucleotides) under uncultured bacterium. RNAcentral's name for it is "partial 16S ribosomal RNA". It matches the Rfam family "Bacterial small subunit ribosomal RNA", at positions 355 to 1376 of the family's 1533-position model. The record is from RNAcentral.
UGGGGAAUAUUGGACAAUGGGCGCAAGCCUGAUCCAGCAAUGCCGCGUGAGUGAUGAAGGCCUUAGGGUUGUAAAGCUCUUUCGCACGCGACGAUGAUGACGGUAGCGUGAGAAGAAGCCCCGGCUAACUUCGUGCCAGCAGCCGCGGUAAUACGAAGGGGGCUAGCGUUGUUCGGAAUUACUGGGCGUAAAGGGCGCGUAGGCGGCCUGUUUAGUCAGAAGUGAAAGCCCCGGGCUCAACCUGGGAAUAGCUUUUGAUACUGGCAGGCUUGAGUUCCGGAGAGGAUGGUGGAAUUCCCAGUGUAGAGGUGAAAUUCGUAGAUAUUGGGAAGAACACCGGUGGCGAAGGCGGCCAUCUGGACGGACACUGACGCUGAGGCGCGAAAGCGUGGGGAGCAAACAGGAUUAGAUACCCUGGUANGUCCACGCCGUAAAACGAUGAAUGCUAGACGUCGGGGUGCAUGCACUUCGGUGUCGCCGCUAACGCAUUAAGCAUUCCGCCUGGGGAGUACGGCCGCAAGGUUAAAACUCAAAUGAAUUGACGGGGUCAUAGCUGUUUCCUG